This 466-nucleotide ribosomal RNA is filed under the name uncultured bacterium. Its description in RNAcentral is "bacterial SSU rRNA". It matches the Rfam family "Bacterial small subunit ribosomal RNA", at positions 198 to 644 of the family's 1533-position model. The record is from RNAcentral.
GGAGGAAAGCAGGGGAUCGCAAGACCUUGCGCUUUUGGAGCGGCCGAUGUCUGAUUAGCUAGUUGGUGAGGUAAAGGCUUACCAAGGCGUCGAUCAGUAGCUGGUCUGAGAGGACGACCAGCCACACUGGGACUGAGACACGGCCCAGACUCCUACGGGAGGCAGCAGUGGGGAAUUUUGGACAAUGGGGGGAAACCCUGAUCCAGCCAUGCCGCGUGAGUGAAGAAGGCCUUCGGGUUGUAAAGCUCUUUCAGCCGGAACGAAACGGUCACGGUUAAUACCUGUGACUACUGACGGUACCGGAAGAAGAAGCACCGGCUAACUACGUGCCAGCAGCCGCGGUAAUACGUAGGGUACGAGCGUUAAUCGGAAUUACUGGGCGUAAAGCGUGCGCAGGCGGUUUUGUAAGUCAGAUGUGAAAUCCCCGGGCUUAACCUGGGAACUGCGUUUGAAACUACAAAGCUAG